UGGGGAAUUUUGGACAAUGGGGGAAACCCUGAUCCAGCCAUCCCGCGUGUGCGAUGAAGGCCUUCGGGUUGUAAAGCACUUUUGGCAGGAAAGAAACGUCGCGGGUUAAUACCCCGCGAAACUGACGGUACCUGCAGAAUAAGCACCGGCUAACUACGUGCCAGCAGCCGCGGUAAUACGUAGGGUGCAAGCGUUAAUCGGAAUUACUGGGCGUAAAACGUGCGCAGGCGGUUCGGAAAGAAAGAUGUGAAAUCCCAGAGCUUAACUUUGGAACUGCAUUUUUAACUACCGGGCUAGAGUGUGUCAGAGGGAGGUGGAAUUCCGCGUGUAGCAGUGAAAUGCGUAGAUAUGCGGAGGAACACCGAUGGCGAAGGCAGCCUCCUGGGAUAACACUGACGCUCAUGCACGAAAGCGUGGGGAGCAAACAGGAUUAGAUACCCUGGUAGUCCACGCCCUAAACGAUGUCAACUAGCUGUUGGGGCCUUCGGGCCUUGGUAGCGCAGCUAACGCGUGAAGUUGACCGCCUGGGGAGUACGGUCGCAAGAUUAAAACUUAAAGGAAUUGACGGGGGU
Molecule: ribosomal RNA, 572 nt
Filed under: uncultured bacterium
Lineage: Bacteria
Description: partial 16S ribosomal RNA
Rfam family: Bacterial small subunit ribosomal RNA
Source: RNAcentral